RNAcentral lists this transfer-messenger RNA (352 nucleotides) under Persephonella sp. It matches the Rfam family "transfer-messenger RNA". Rfam says of the family: Bacterial tmRNA, also known as 10Sa RNA or SsrA, is named for its dual tRNA and mRNA-like properties. The record is from RNAcentral. Lineage: Bacteria; Pseudomonadati; Aquificota; Aquificia; Aquificales; Hydrogenothermaceae.
GGGGGCGAUACGGGUUCGACGGGAACGGUAAAGCCGGGUAAGCAGGCCGGAGAAGGAAACUCCGCAAAAAACCAAAAACCAACAAUUCCCGAACGUGAAAUCGCUCUCGCUGCUUAAUUAACGUAGCGACCUCCACCUAAACUUGCCUGUGGGUUUAGGAUGGGGGACAGAGACACAGGCUAGGAGGAUACCGAGGUCCCCAUAGGUAUCUUCCGAAGGCUUAUGGGGAUAGCCUGUGGAUACCCUGCCUGUGGGGUCGCCACAGGUGAAAGACUAAACACAGGCUAAGCCUGUAGAAAGCCCGAGCUACAGCCGUUCUCGGACGGGGGUUCGAUUCCCCCCGCCUCCACCA